AAACACUGGGUUGGAAGGAAAGAGGCCUCAGCUCUCCAUCCGCCCUGUGCGGCCAGGGGCCGGGGGCGGAGGGUGCUCUGGGGCCAGGCCUGGCGGCCACGUCCCACAGUGACUCUGCAUGGAAGCAGCAUCCUCCCCGCCCCCCACGCGAAUGGGUCCUGCAGUACCGCCUGCGCCCACUAUCGUUCGCCCAGAGCGUCCCUGGCAGAAUUCUAGGCUUUCCUGGGGGCAGCAGCACCCCUACUUCGCCCUGGGGAACCCGAGUCCUGAUCUGGAGUCCCUCGCCUCCAGGAAAACGUGUGUUGACUGACCAACCAGCUGACGUGUAGAAGGAGUGAAGAGUCAGCAGAGACCCACCCACCUGGAUGGUCCAGGAGGAAGCAUGACAGUCUGCUGUCCAGUUUGGCCCAUGACAAACCACAGUGCCUGCGGUCUAGUGUGGUCCAGAAGCAGAUGGUCCUCCUGAUAUAUCGUCAGAAGGUCAGUGGUAGCCUAAAGCUACAUUACAGUGCCUAUAU
This is a non-coding RNA of Callorhinus ursinus (northern fur seal), 518 nucleotides long. The record is from RefSeq and is a predicted model, not a curated record. NCBI's taxonomy places the organism in Eukaryota, Metazoa, Chordata, Mammalia, Carnivora, Otariidae.